GUGUUCACUUUAGCAGCACGUAUACUAAAAUUGGAAAGAUACAGAGAAGGUUAGCAUAGCCCCCACACAAGGAUGACAUGCAAAUUCAUGAAAUGUUCCAUAUUUUU
Small nuclear RNA from Echinops telfairi (small Madagascar hedgehog), 107 nucleotides. The record is from Ensembl. Lineage: Eukaryota; Metazoa; Chordata; Mammalia; Afrosoricida; Tenrecidae.